Long non-coding RNA from Maniola jurtina (meadow brown), 72 nucleotides. RefSeq lists it as uncharacterized. The record is from RefSeq and is a predicted model, not a curated record. NCBI's taxonomy places the organism in Eukaryota, Metazoa, Arthropoda, Insecta, Lepidoptera, Nymphalidae. The transcript has 3 exons.
GAGUCUACGUUCAGGUGAUGUUAGAAAUCGGGGACCACGUCUUCGCCAGCGAAGACGCAGUAUAGCGGUUGC